RNAcentral lists this ribosomal RNA (252 nucleotides) under uncultured bacterium. Its description in RNAcentral is "partial 16S ribosomal RNA". It matches the Rfam family "Bacterial small subunit ribosomal RNA", at positions 524 to 776 of the family's 1533-position model. The record is from RNAcentral.
UACGGAGGAUGCGAGCGUUAUCCGGAUUUAUUGGGUUUAAAGGGUGCGUAGGCGGACGCUUAAGUCAGCGGUAAAAUUGCGGGGCUCAACCUCGUCGAGCCGUUGAAACUGGGUGCCUUGAGUGGGCGAAAAGUACGCGGAAUGCGUGGUGUAGCGGUGAAAUGCAUAGAUAUCACGCAGAACUCCGAUUGCGAAGGCAGCGUACCGGCGCCCAACUGACGCUGAAGCACGAAGGCGUGGGUAUCGAACAGG